Bos taurus (domestic cattle) is the source of this 768-nucleotide long non-coding RNA. The record is from Ensembl. Lineage: Eukaryota; Metazoa; Chordata; Mammalia; Artiodactyla; Bovidae.
GUCUACCAGAAAAACUGUUCUCCCUGAGUUCCGUUCCUGUUAGAAUAUGUCAGUCUCUGAGAGGCCUCAGUUUUUAAGUGUAUGAAAUGGGCAUAACUCUACUGGCAUCUCCUCCUGAGGAAGACUUGCCAUCAGACGCUUUUACUUAUUGGAAGGUUGACAGCGUGGACGGACCCCAAGUCUGGGCUGUCGGUGGGGUCCUGCUUCUGCAUGAUGGAAGGCAGGCAUCUUGGGAAGAAUAAUUAGCCAGAAAGAAGAACUUACUUGGUGUGACCAAGAGUUUGGUGCCCUUCCCGAAGGUGAAAAAUGACUGAGCAGACAGCUAUCCAGCUAGACGCCCACUCCUCAGAGUCUGAAGAAAGAUGGGGGCAGGAAGGGGCUACGCAAGACACACAUCUGAAUUUCACCUGAGACAGAACUGUUUCACAGAGCCCUCGCCUCAUCCUGGGCUCUGUUCUGGAGAGGCCGUACCACCUCACCCUGAAGACACCUUACCUGAGGUCAAGCAUAUGUUUGCUACACUGAUUAUAGACCUGCCCUAUGAGUGGUAGUGCGGGUCAUCCCUUGGCCCAGAAGGACUCUAGCCUUUCAGGGAAUGCUGUUCUUUCACAGUCCAUGGUUUCCUUACCACUAAGAGAUGGACACUGGAUGGCAUUACCCCCAGUCCUGAUUGAAUCCUUGUUUGACCCAUAAAAAAACAAACCCCACUGUUUCCUCCUCAUUGACUACCUGACCCCCAAAGUGUCUUUAUCACAGUUAUUAAAAAGG